RNAcentral lists this long non-coding RNA (2079 nucleotides) under Marmota monax (woodchuck). The record is from RNAcentral. Lineage: Eukaryota; Metazoa; Chordata; Mammalia; Rodentia; Sciuridae.
GGACUCUUCCUUCUCAGACAAUUGGAGACAUUUAUAGCUGUAAUUCCUAGCUUUACAUCAACACCAAUGGACCCUGUCAAGAGUUAGUCCCAUUAAUCCUUUUCUCUUGAUGUGAUUUCCAACUAGCUCCCCUGCUUCUGUUUAUUUAUUUUACUGACUACCAACUUUGCUUUCUCAUCAACCUUGGAAGUUAUUUAAAGAAGACCCUAAAUUAAUUUAAAGAACACUUGUGACCUUGCCUGCAUUUCACUACUCAUUGCUAGCUACUACCUACCAAAUCCCAUGUUAAUGUGGGCACCUGAUUCAGUAGCUGGUCAGAAGUAUCUUAGUGCACCUGCUCUAUUAAAAGAAUCUUCCUUCCCAAACAAAUGGAGAUACCUAUAGCCAUAAUUCCUAGCUUCACAUCAACCUCGGUGGCCCUGUCAAGAGUGGUCCCAUUAUUCCUUUUGUCAUUAGCUUUUUUGCUUCUGUUUUCUACAAAUUAACUACCACUCUUUGCUUUCUCAUCCUCCUUUAAAGUACUGUUAAAAGAAGACUCUAAAGUAACUUAACACUUGUGAUCUUGCCAUACAUUUCACUGGUCAUUGCUAGCUACUACCUAACAAGUUAUCUGCAUAAAUUAUUUGUAAUUCUUCAUAAGAGACUUCUGAUUGUGUCCAGUUUUAAAAUUAAUUUUGUUAUUAAUUUAUUUAUUUAUUUGGUACCAGGGAUUGAACUCAGGGGCACUUGACCACCAAGCCACAUCCCCAGCCCUAUUUUGUAUUUUACUUAGAGACAGGGUCUCACUGAGUUGCUUAUUGCCUCAACAUUGCUGAGGCUGGCUUUGAACUCACAAUCCCCCUGUCUCAGCCUCCCAAACCGCUGGAAUUACAGGUGUGUGCCAAUGCGCCUGGCUCAUUUUGUCAUUUAUUGAUGGUGGCAUGAACUCAUACAUAUUUUGUUUUUGCUUUGGGUCAUGAUUUAAUACUCCUUUAUUUUGUUGGUUGAAUUAUUCCUGCUUUGAAAAAAGCUAAUUAUUUCAAUGUUGACCACAAUAUUAGUUGAUUCCUGUGUCACCAUCUUCAUUUAUGUGUGUGAGGAUAUGUUUUGUGUUUUAAGCACUUUCUCAAUUUAUGGGACUCAAGAUAAUCUUUUUAAAAGUUUAAUCUCCUAUCUUAUCUCAGAUAUCUCCUGCCCCAACCCCAUAAACAGCCAUUUCUCUAAGGAUUCCUGGUUGUUUUAUUGGAGAGUAGUAUUAGAAACUAAGAUCUGGGCGCUAGACUUGCUUAUUGCUACUGGGGUGUUGUUGCUUCUAGGUUCUUUGCGUUGACAGGGCAAGGAGACAUAUGUAUAGAUACUAACCUAUGUACAUGCAUAUCUACAAGUAUUUCCAUAUACAAGCAUCUCUAUAUUAUAUUAAACUAUCAAUGAGUUCAUACUGAUGCCUUCAACAGGGGUCAUAUUAGCUUCCUUUCCUUGUUUAUCUGUAAUCCCCAUCCAACAGUAAGAACCAGGCUCCCACUGUUGGAAAUACUGAGGUGCCACAAGAAAUAAAACACAUGUUUGAAAGUCCAUGGGCCAGUCAAUCUUCUAUGUCUGACAGAAGGGCAUGCUAACAGACUGGGCUAGCCAAGCAUACUGGGUGGCAGACUGCCAGUUUAUAUAUCUAAUGUAGUGCUCCCUUCACCCUGAUUGGAGGACCCGGGUUCAAUUUAUGCAACUAAUUUUAAAAUUAGAGUGGGCAAAGGGAAGGGUUAUGGGGUUUUUUGUUUGUUUGUUUUGUUUUUCCUGGUACUGGGGAUUGAACCCAGGGGUACCUAACCACUAAGCUACAUUCCCAGCCCUUUUAAAAAAAAGUAUUUUUAUUUAGAGACACAGUCUCCCUGAAUUUCUUAGGGCCUACCUAACUUAGCUAGUUGCUAAGGCUGGCUUUGAACUUGCUGUCCUCCUGCCUCAGCUUCCCAAGCCACUGGGAUAAAUAAAUUAAGUUCUUAUUUGGCAUUGACUUAUCUGUGUCAUCACUCAUCACCUCCCUAAAUUAAAAUCCUGUAAGUACAAAUGAGAUAGUUGUGUGUUUGAGAAAUCUAUAAUAUGCUGGCA